ACGGGUGAGUAACACGUGGGUAACCUGCCCUGUACUCUGGGAUAAGCCUUGGAAACGAGGUCUAAUACCGGAUACGACACUGGAUCGCAUGAUUUGGUGUGGAAAGUUCCGGCGGUAUGGGAUGGACCCGCGGCCUAUCAGCUUGUUGGUGGGGUAAUGGCCUACCAAGGCGACGACGGGUAGCCGGCCUGAGAGGGUGACCGGCCACACUGGGACUGAGACACGGCCCAGACUCCUACGGGAGGCAGCAGUGGGGAAUAUUGCACAAUGGGCGAAAGCCUGAUGCAGCGACGCCGCGUGAGGGAUGACGGCCUUCGGGUUGUAAACCUCUUUCAGCAGGGACGAAGCGCAAGUGACGGUACCUGCAGAAGAAGCACCGGCUAACUACGUGCCAGCAGCCGCGGUAAUACGUAGGGUGCGAGCGUUGUCCGGAAUUAUUGGGCGUAAAGAGCUCGUAGGCGGUUUGUCGCGUCGGCCGUGAAAACUUGAGGCUUAACUCCAAGCUUGCGGUCGAUACGGGCAGACUUGAGUUCGGCAGGGGAGACUGGAAUUCCUGGUGUAGCGGUGAAAUGCGCAGA
This 578-nucleotide ribosomal RNA is filed under the name uncultured bacterium. RNAcentral describes it as "bacterial SSU rRNA". It matches the Rfam family "Bacterial small subunit ribosomal RNA", at positions 102 to 694 of the family's 1533-position model. The record is from RNAcentral.